Molecule: long non-coding RNA, 604 nt
Organism: Cyprinodon tularosa
Lineage: Eukaryota; Metazoa; Chordata; Actinopteri; Cyprinodontiformes; Cyprinodontidae
Exons: 4
Source: RefSeq, a predicted model, not a curated record
CCCAAUGGCUGAACAAUUCAUAAGCACAGGCCAUAAAUGACCGAGUUGGCCAGCGCAUUAAGCACCGUGUUCCCCUCCAAAAACCCCUGAAAGAGUAAGACUCUGGAGUACAGCCAACAUGCCAGGAGCCAAAGGAAAUAAAUCGGACAAGAAGUCAGCUACCAAGCAACCUCAGAGUCCUAAAGAUCAGCCAAAAAAAGGUGAUCAGAAAGGAGAUGACAACAAGAAGCAAGGAGGACAGCCGAAAGGAGAAGAGAAGCAAUAACUUCCAGGCGUUUGUGAAGAUGGCUUUGGAGACACUGCUGGGGUCCUGUCACCAUAAACACGGGGGUCCCCAGGGAAGACAGGGCUGAGCGUCCGUCCCCUGCACUACCACACCUGCUCGCCUCCACAGAGAGGCACAAGGCAAAUUUCCAUCCAUCAUCAUCCGUUUCACCGCUUGGUUCCUGUUCAUCCCAAACCCCUUACCCUUCCUCACUAGAAUCUGAAAAAAAAGACAUUCAUUUAGAUCAGACCAACCCAUUCCUUCUUUAUACCAACAUGGACCAUUCAACAGUCCAAAUGUUCUUUUUGUAAUUAAAACUGAAAACUGUUUAUUACAUCA